This 409-nucleotide ribosomal RNA is filed under the name uncultured bacterium. Its description in RNAcentral is "bacterial SSU rRNA". It matches the Rfam family "Bacterial small subunit ribosomal RNA", at positions 355 to 775 of the family's 1533-position model. The record is from RNAcentral.
UGGGGAAUAUUGCGCCAAUGCGCGAAAGCGUGACGCAGCGACGCCGCGUGGGGGAUGAAGGCCCUCGGGUCGUAAACCCCUUUCGGCAGGGACGAAGCGAAAGUGACGGUACCUGCAGAAGAAGUCCCGGCUAACUACGUGCCAGCAGCCGCGGUAACACGUAGGGGACGAGCGUUGUCCGGAUUCAUUGGGCGUAAAGAGCGCGUAGGCGGUCGUGCAAGUCGGUUGUGAAAUCCCGGGGCUUAACCCCGGGCCUGCGUCCGAUACUGCACGACUCGAGGUAGGUAGGGGAGAUCGGAAUUCCUGGUGUAGCGGUGAAAUGCGCAGAUAUCAGGAGGAACACCGGUGGCGAAGGCGGAUCUCUGGGCCUUACCUGACGCUGAGGCGCGAAAGCUAGGGGAGCGAACAG